Molecule: long non-coding RNA, 230 nt
Filed under: Pan troglodytes (chimpanzee)
Lineage: Eukaryota; Metazoa; Chordata; Mammalia; Primates; Hominidae
Description: long non-coding RNA NONPTRT012418
Source: RNAcentral
CAGCAGUUCCAGGCCGGCUCCAGCCUAGCCAAAGCAGCUAACUUCUCUGCUGUCUCGUGGGCUGAACCUCACCGUUUCCCAAGAGGAGCUGCCUGGCAAUGGUAGCAGGUGAAGGUCAUGGUGAAGAAGAUGCAGAUAUUGGCAAUUUGGAGCAUUAGAUGAACUAAUUACAACGUUAACCUAAGGAACAGUGCAACAGAAAAUGGGCUAAGACAUGGAGCAAGGGGCAG